UGGAGCAACGCCGCGUGAGUGAAGAAGGUUUUCGGAUCGUAAAACUCUGUUGUAAGGGAAGAACAAGUGCAGUAGUAACUGGCUGCACCUUGACGGUACCUUAUUAGAAAGCCACGGCUAACUACGUGCCAGCAGCCGCGGUAAUACGUAGGUGGCAAGCGUUGUCCGGAAUUAUUGGGCGUAAAGCGCGCGCAGGCGGUUUCUUAAGUCUGAUGUGAAAGCCCCCGGCUUAACCGGGGAGGGUCAUUGGAAACUGGGAGACUUGAGUGCAGAAGAGGAAAGUGGAAUUCCAAGUGUAGCGGUGAAAUGCGUAGAGAUUUGGAGGAACACCAGUGGCGAAGGCGACUUUCUGGUCUGUAACUGACGCUGAGGCGCGAAAGCGUGGGGAGCAAACAGGAUUAGAUACCCUGGUAGUCCACGCCGUAAACGAUGAGUGCUAAGUGUUAGGGGGUUUCCGCCCCUUAGUGCUGCAGCUAACGCAUUAAGCACUCCGCCUGGGGAGUACGGUCGCAAGACUG
Molecule: ribosomal RNA, 518 nt
Filed under: uncultured Bacillota bacterium
Lineage: Bacteria; Bacillati; Bacillota
Description: bacterial SSU rRNA
Rfam family: Bacterial small subunit ribosomal RNA
Source: RNAcentral